AACAUCCGGAAACGGGUGCUAAUACCGCAUAGGAAGUUUGUUCGCAUGAACAAACUUAGAAAGAUGGCUCUGCUAUCGCUUAUCGAUGGCCUUGCGGUGCAUUAACUAGUUGGCGAGGGUAACGGGCUCACCAAGGUGAUGAUGCAUAGCCGACCUGAGAGGGUAAUCGGCCACAUUGGGACUGAGACACGGCCCAAACUCCUACGGGAGGCAGCAGUAGGGAAUCUUCCGCAAUGGACGCAAGUCUGACGGAGCAACGCCGCGUGAGUGAAGAAGGUUUUCGGAUCGUAAAACUCUGUUGUAAGAGAAGAACAAAUUGUAGAGUAACUGCUACAGUCUUGACGGUAUCUUACCAGAAAAGCCACGGGCUAACUACGUGCCCAGCAGCCGCGGGUAAAUA
Molecule: ribosomal RNA, 400 nt
Filed under: uncultured Aerococcus sp.
Lineage: Bacteria; Bacillati; Bacillota; Bacilli; Lactobacillales; Aerococcaceae
Description: bacterial SSU rRNA
Rfam family: Bacterial small subunit ribosomal RNA
Source: RNAcentral